Molecule: non-coding RNA, 97 nt
Organism: Mycena floridula
Lineage: Eukaryota; Fungi; Basidiomycota; Agaricomycetes; Agaricales; Mycenaceae
Source: the annotation of a GenBank genome assembly
GGCGACAUAGCUCAGUUGGGAGAGCAGCAGACUGAAGUGUAGUCGAUAUGCAGAAUCAUUGAUCUGAAGGUCCCGUGUUCAAGCCACGGUGUUGCCA